Molecule: ribosomal RNA, 1345 nt
Filed under: uncultured bacterium
Lineage: Bacteria
Description: bacterial SSU rRNA
Rfam family: Bacterial small subunit ribosomal RNA
Source: RNAcentral
GAUGAACGCUAGCGGGAGGCCUAACACAUGCAAGCCGAGCGGUAUUGUUUCUUCGGAAAUGAGAGAGCGGCGUACGGGUGCGGAACACGUGUGCAACCUGCCUUUAUCUGGGGGAUAGCCUUUCGAAAGGAAGAUUAAUACUCCAUAAUAUAUUGAACGGCAUCGUUUAAUAUUGAAAGCUCCGGCGGAUAGAGAUGGGCACGCGCAAGAUUGGCUAGUUGGUGAGGUAACGGCUCACCAAGGCGAUGAUCUUUAGGGGGCCUGAGAGGGUGAUCCCCCACACUGGUACUGAGACACGGACCAGACUCCUACGGGAGGCAGCAGUGAGGAAUAUUGGUCAAUGGGUGCAAGCCUGAACCAGCCAUCCCGCGUGAAGGACGACUGCCCUAUGGGUUGUAAACUUCUUUUGUAUAGGGAUAAACCUACCCUCGUGAGGGUAGCUGAAGGUACUAUACGAAUAAGCACCGGCUAACUCCGUGCCAGCAGCCGCGGUAAUACGGAGGGUGCAAGCGUUAUCCGGAUUUAUUGGGUUUAAAGGGUCCGUAGGCGGACUUAUAAGUCAGUGGUGAAAGCCUGUCGCUUAACGAUAGAACUGCCAUUGAUACUGUAAGUCUUGAGUAUAUUUGAGGUAGCUGGAAUAAGUAGUGUAGCGGUGAAAUGCAUAGAUAUUACUUAGAACACCAAUUGCGAAGGCAGGUUACCAAGAUAUAACUGACGCUGAGGGACGAAAGCGUGGGGAGCGAACAGGAUUAGAUACCCUGGUAGUCCACGCCGUAAACGAUGCUAACUCGUUUUUGGGCUUUAGGGUUCAGAGACCAAGCGAAAGUGAUAAGUUAGCCACCUGGGGAGUACGCUCGCAAGAGUGAAACUCGAAGGAAUUGACGGGGGCCCGCACAAGCGGUGGAUUAUGUGGUUUAAUUCGAUGAUACGCGAGGAACCUUACCAAGACUUAAAUGGGAAUUGACAGCUUUAGAAAUAGAGCUUUCUUCGGACAAUUUUCAAGGUGCUGCAUGGUUGUCGUCAGCUCGUGCCGUGAGGUGUUAGGUUAAGUCCUGCAACGAGCGCAACCCCUGUCACUAGUUGCCAUCAUUCAGUUGGGGACUCUAGUGAGACUGCCUACGCAAGUAGAGAGGAAGGUGGGGAUGACGUCAAAUCAUCACGGCCCUUACGUCUUGGGCCACACACGUAAUACAAUGGCCGGUACAGAGGGUAGCUACACAGCGAUGUGAUGCAAAUCUCGAAAGCCGGUCUCAGUUCGGAUUGGAGUCUGCAACUCGACUCUAUGAAGCUGGAAUCGCUAGUAAUCGCGCAUCAGCCAUGGCGCGGUGAAUACGUUCCCGGGCCU